RNAcentral lists this unclassified non-coding RNA (441 nucleotides) under Hevea brasiliensis (rubber tree). The record is from RNAcentral. Lineage: Eukaryota; Viridiplantae; Streptophyta; Magnoliopsida; Malpighiales; Euphorbiaceae.
CUUUUUUUGUCUCUUAAUUUCUGUAGUUGAACUGGUCUCUCCAGUCUACCUCUACCAUAUGUUCUUUUUUUACUUGUUAUUUUACUUGAUGGGUUCUUUUCAGUUUUGACUAUCUAGGUUUUUUUUUGUAAAAAAAAAUUGUUGACUGUUAUCUGGGUUUGGCUCAACUUUUUUUCAAUUUGAAUUGGGUUUCGUUAGUGUGACAUUGGUCUAAUUAUGAAUGACAUUUGGUUUUGAUCAGAGUGUAAUUGAGCAGUUCUCUUUUGGCCGGACUAGACGCAUUAAAUCUCAUUAACGGUUUCUAACGUUUUGUUUUAUCAGAUUAGAAAGCAGGUAGUGAGAUUCCUGGAUUAAUGGCCGGUUUAAAAGAUGACCCAGUUCUUGGAAUUAACGAUAUGAUAGAAACAAGGGAAGAGACUGAGAUUAAGGACGCUGUUAUAG